AUUGAAUCUCUUAGGUUUGAAUGGGGAAACUGUGAUUGCUUGCCAGUGACAGGAACCACUCAAGUGAGCUCAGGGAAAGGGCAUGGUCUCCUGGGAUCCAGAGAGCGCUAGGCAACAAGAGUUUCCUCUUCCUGUCUGGCCACACCCAACCUGCCAUGGGAUGCCUUCCACAUAGACCAGCACCCUCUGCAGCUGUCCCACUCUCCCCGCCCAGGGUCACCAUCUCAGGGCAACAUGAAGAAAUUAUCACAAAUAAUGAACACAACCUCAACGUAAAACUUUCAGAGACAAAAAUCAUUGAAAAACUAAGGAGACGUGGAGGAGAAGAUGUAAGUGAGUUAUACUUAUAUCUAUAUGAAAUACCUUACCUUGCCUUGCGAUUUUGUUGUGUUCAUGUUUUGAAACGUAAGUAUUUCACCUAUCUCAGAUUAUUAGCUGUGAAUACAAACCAGGGCUAAAUGCCAAACAGAG
RNAcentral lists this long non-coding RNA (471 nucleotides) under Fukomys damarensis (Damara mole-rat). Its description in RNAcentral is "lncRNA (ENSFDAG00000029496.1)". Lineage: Eukaryota; Metazoa; Chordata; Mammalia; Rodentia; Bathyergidae. The record is from RNAcentral.